RNAcentral lists this ribosomal RNA (429 nucleotides) under Acidobacteriota bacterium. RNAcentral's name for it is "Acidobacteria bacterium partial 16S ribosomal RNA". It matches the Rfam family "Bacterial small subunit ribosomal RNA", at positions 355 to 776 of the family's 1533-position model. Lineage: Bacteria; Pseudomonadati; Acidobacteriota. The record is from RNAcentral.
UGGGGAAUUUUGGACAAUGGGGGAAACCCUGAUCCAGCCAUCCCGCGUGUGCGAUGAAGGCCUUCGGGUUGUAAAGCACUUUUGGCAGGAAAGAAACGUCAUGGGUUAAUACCCCGUGAAACUGACGGUACCUGCAGAAUAAGCACCGGCUAACUACGUGCCAGCAGCCGCGGUAAUACGUAGGGUGCAAGCGUUAAUCGGAAUUACUGGGCGUAAAGCGUGCGCAGGCGGUUCGGAAAGAAAGAUGUGAAAUCCCAGAGCUCAACUUUGGAACUGCAUUUUUAACUACCGGGCUAGAGAGUGGCAGAGGGAGGUGGAAUUCCGCGUGUAGCAGUGAAAUGCGUAGAUAUGCGGAGGAACACCGAUGGCGAAGGCAGCCUCCUGGGAUAACACUGACGCUCAUGCACGAAAGCGUGGGGAGCAAACAGG